Molecule: ribosomal RNA, 774 nt
Filed under: uncultured Neocallimastigales
Lineage: Eukaryota; Fungi; Neocallimastigomycota; Neocallimastigomycetes; Neocallimastigales
Description: partial large subunit ribosomal RNA
Rfam family: Eukaryotic large subunit ribosomal RNA
Source: RNAcentral
UACGACUACAUAUCAGGCAUAUCAAUAAGCGGAGGAAAAGAAACUAACUAGGAUUCCCUUCAGUAACGGCGAGUGAAGCGGGAAGAGCUCAAAUUUGAAAUCUUCAAGGUUUUACCUUGACGAAUUGUAGUUUAAAGAAGUGUUUUCUGUUGAGUUUCGGUAAAAGUUCUUUGGAAUAGGACAUCAUAGAGGGUGAGAAUCCCGUAUUUGACCAUUACUUUCCAGCUGUGUGAUACACUUUCAAAGAGUCGGAUUGUUUGGGAAUGCAGUCCAAAAUGGGUGGUAAAUUUCAUCUAAAGCUAAAUAUUGGCGAGAGACCGAUAGCGAACAAGUACCGUGAGGGAAAGAUGAAAAGAACUUUGAAAAGAGAGUUAAACAGUACGUGAAAUUGUCAAAAGGGAAGCGUUUGACACCAGUGUUGUUUUCUCGAAAAUCAAUUAAAAAGUAUGGGAUUUUGUAUUGUUAAGACCUUAUCAGCUUACGGUACUUUUUUCUUAUUCUUUUUAAUGCACUUUUCGUUUAACAAGUCAACAUCAAUUUCUUUUGUUGUAAAAGAGUCAUUGGAAGGUGGCUUUCACUUCGGUGAAAGUGUUUAUAGCCUUUGGCUUCUGCAAUCGGAGAGAUUGAGGUCUGCAGCGUAGAUCCUUCGGGGUUAGAUACGUAGAUGCUAAGUUAUAGUUUUUCAUAGACAACUUGUUGACUAUGAUUAAUCAUGUAGCUUACUCGUUUGCGCUAUUUUACCUACGCUUAGGAUGUUGAAUCUGUGCGAGACUA